GACGAACGCUGGCGGCGUGCUUAACACAUGCGAGUCGAACGGAAAGGCCCUUCGGGGUACUCGAGUGGCGAACGGGUGAGUAACACGUGGGUGAUCUGCCCUGCACUUUGGGAUAAGCCUGGGAAACUGGGUCUGAUACCGAAUAGGACCACGCGCUUCAUGGUGUGUGGUGGAAAGCUUUUGCGGUGUGGGAUGGGCCCGCGGCCUAUCAGCUUGUUGGUGGGGUAAUGGCCUACCAAGGCGACGACGGGUAGCCGGCCUGAGAGGGUGACCGGCCACACUGGGACUGAGAUACGGCCCAGACUCCUACGGGAGGCAGCAGUGGGGAAUAUUGCACAAUGGGCGCAAGCCUGAUGCAGCGACGCCGCGUGAGGGAUGACGGCCUUCGGGUUGUAAACCUCUUUCACCAGGGACGAAGCGUAAGUGACGGUACCUGGAGAAGAAGCACCGGCCAACUACGUG
Molecule: ribosomal RNA, 462 nt
Filed under: uncultured bacterium
Lineage: Bacteria
Description: partial 16S ribosomal RNA
Rfam family: Bacterial small subunit ribosomal RNA
Source: RNAcentral